AAGAAGAGGAAACCGGUGAAGAAAGCUUCAGCAAAGGUGACUGAAGUUAGUAUGAUGACUCGGGGGAGAAAGAGAAAAGAGAACAAUGACGAAGUGUGUGCUAAGAACAAAAGACCUUUCAAGAAAACGGCUGGAAAGUCUAAGUAGACAGACAAGGGGGACAAAGAAAAGAUGACAAUGAAGCCACUUUCUGUUUGCCAUUAUUCUAUCGAAUUGUUGGUCACAAGUGUUAUACAUUCACUUUUUUACUUCAUCGACAAAGUCAGGUGCACCGAAGCCCCCACACUCGUCGGCAAAGAAGGUAUACAUAUAUCAUUGAACCCGUACAUCAACUCGUGUACAAAUCUCGCUUAUUGUUAGAUUCAAAUAAAGUCAGGUGCACAUGACGCCUCUUAUGUAGAUCAGUCCCGAUUUCCUCCUGUUUACAUUAAUCAAAUCAUUACAUCAGCCUUGCACGUCUUAAAUUAAGAAGCCAAAUAAACAGCCUAAAUGAUUAGCUUAAUUAUUUCUUCACAAUAAAUCUCUUAUUUUUGUUGCCUUGUCACUGAAAAUAAUCUUUGCACA
Aegilops tauschii subsp. strangulata is the source of this 564-nucleotide non-coding RNA. The record is from RefSeq and is a predicted model, not a curated record. NCBI's taxonomy places the organism in Eukaryota, Viridiplantae, Streptophyta, Magnoliopsida, Poales, Poaceae.